CCAGAGGGCUGGGCGGCCGCGUGGGCUUGCUCACGAGGAAAGUCCGGGCUCCACGGAACCACGGUGCCGGGUAAUGCCCGGCGGGGGCGACCCCAGGGAAAGUGCCACAGAGAAUAGUCCGCCAACCUCGCUUGCGAGGCGGCAAGGGUGAAAGGGUGCGGUAAGAGCGCACCGCGCGCGCCAGCAAUGGCCGCGGCACGGCAAACCCCACCGGGAGCAAGACCGAAUAGGGGCGGCAUAUGGGCCUGGUCCGGCUCGUCGCCCGGGUUGGUUGCUUGAGGGCGGGAGCAAUCCCGUUCCUAGAGGAAUGGUCGCACAGGCGGAGCAAUUCGCUGGACAAAACCCGGCUUACAGGCCCUCUGGCACU
RNAcentral lists this RNase P RNA (367 nucleotides) under Parasphingopyxis marina. RNAcentral describes it as "Bacterial RNase P class A". It matches the Rfam family "Bacterial RNase P class A". Rfam says of the family: Ribonuclease P (RNase P) is a ubiquitous endoribonuclease, found in archaea, bacteria and eukarya as well as chloroplasts and mitochondria. Its best characterised activity is the generation of mature 5'-ends of tRNAs by cleaving the 5'-leader elements of precursor-tRNAs. Lineage: Bacteria; Pseudomonadati; Pseudomonadota; Alphaproteobacteria; Sphingomonadales; Parasphingopyxidaceae. The record is from Rfam by way of RNAcentral.